AAAAGAAAGGGAGAGAGAAAGAAAGGGAGAGAGAAAGAAAGGGAGAGAGAGAGAAAGAAAGGGAGAAAGAAAGGGAGAGAGAAAGAAAAGGGAGAGAGAAAGAAAGGGAGAGCGGGGGAGAGAAGAGAAAGAAAGGGAGAGAGAGAAAGAAAGGGAGAGAGAAAGAAAAGGGAGAGAGAAAGAAUGGGAGAGCGGGGGAGAGAAGAGAAAGAAAAGCCUUGAUGUGUCACUGAUUGUUAAGUCUUCCUUUGGGUGUUUGAUUGUAAGCUUGGUGUCCAUCUCAAUCUUCACACACCUCCAUACAGGAAGCUGGUGUAUAAUAGUUAGCGUGUGUCCACCGUGUCCAAGUAUCAAGGUAUUGCGAUUGGACUCGCGUCUCAACCCAAACUCCUAAGGCGACACAGUGGUCACCUCCAUUUUACUCUCAGCCGGUGUUUAUAUUACAGUGUCUAUAUUACAGUCAGCUCACACACAACCGGAAUGCAGAAAGGUAUUUACUGACGGCUACUGUCUGAGUCUAACUUGAACACAUGAAGGCAGCAGUUAGGGGACAACCAAACAGCCUCUUCCUCUACACACAAUCCUCUUCGGUUUCUGCAUUGAGGAAGUGGUGUGGUGCAGAUCCUUGUCUUUGAUCAUGCUAAAAUGUGCUUUUAACCACAGCUCUAGGAUCAGAUUACCGUAAACUCAAUCCUAACAUUAACCUAGAGGGAUGAAAGUAAGAUCUGACCCUGUAUCAGUGUGUAUUUCUCCCUGCAGUUUAGGAGUUGAGUCUCCGCUAGGCUGGAGGCUGCAUUUAAAACACUCUGCAUCAGAAUGAAGUCAUGAGCUCAGUCAGCUAUGGGAACUGUGGGUUGCCAUAGAAAUUAGAACCGGUGAGUUGGAGAGAGAGGGAGGGAAGAGAGGAGAGAGAGAGAGGCAGGGAGGGGAGAGGUACCCAUGGCAACAGAAGCAUUCUAAAUAGAAGCCGAGACUGACCUGCCUUGGCGAGUGUUAAGUCAGGCCCACACCCACGCACACAUGCGAGGGUACACACAAAAAACGUAUGUCCACACAUACAUCCAGGCACAUGGAGAGAGAGAGAGAGACGUCUGAAGAAAAGGAAAGGAACUCCACUGUGGAACCACUAGACUAUUGGUACAGCAAAUGUCAGACAAGACACUUCUGUCUCUGUUUUCUCCCCACCCACCUCCUCAGUCAUGUAAGCAUGGUGUGUAAAGUCAACCAAGCGACAUUGUAGAGCGAGCGAGGCGUUAAAACAGUGGUGUUCAUUAACACUUCUGUGACACGGUACAUUCCCUCGUUCCCUCACUUAUUUUCUUUCUUUCGGAAACUCACUCGACUGACACUCGCUCACUAAAAGGAAAAGUAGAAUUCGAUUGACAGUGUUGUUUGGGUCUUGUAGCCACACUGCUUGUUUCUAGCCUGGUCCCAGAUCUGUUUGACAAUGACCAUCGGAGUUGACAAGAUGGCACAAACAGAUCUGGGACCAGGCUAGCUUGUAGUGUUGGUGCUUUUGAUACAUA
Long non-coding RNA from Oncorhynchus tshawytscha (Chinook salmon), 1526 nucleotides. NCBI's taxonomy places the organism in Eukaryota, Metazoa, Chordata, Actinopteri, Salmoniformes, Salmonidae. The record is from Ensembl.